Molecule: ribosomal RNA, 497 nt
Filed under: uncultured bacterium
Lineage: Bacteria
Description: partial 16S ribosomal RNA
Rfam family: Bacterial small subunit ribosomal RNA
Source: RNAcentral
GAUGAACGCUGGCGGCGUGCCUAAUACAUGCAAGUCGAGCGAACAGACGAGGAGCUUGCUCCUCUGACGUUAGCGGCGGACGGGUGAGUAACACGUGGAUAACCUACCUAUAAGACUGGGAUAACUUCGGGAAACCGGAGCUAAUACCGGAUAAUAUAUUGAACCGCAUGGUUCAAUAGUGAAAGACGGUUUUGCUGUCACUUAUAGAUGGAUCCGCGCCGCAUUAGCUAGUUGGUAAGGUAACGGCUUACCAAGGCGACGAUGCGUAGCCGACCUGAGAGGGGUGUGGCCCACCCGGGAAGUGAGACCGGGACCAGACCCCGACGGGGGGAAGCAGGAGGAAUGCUUCCGAAAGGGGAGAGAGCCGGACGGAGCAGCGCGGGGGGGGAAAUAAAGGUUUUGGGAUCAAAAAACUUUGUUAUGGGGGAAAAAAAAAUGUGUAAGAAAAUAGGCACUUCUUGAGGGUACCUAAUAAGAAAGCCACGGCAAACCCCGGC